RNAcentral lists this ribosomal RNA (433 nucleotides) under uncultured bacterium. Its description in RNAcentral is "partial 16S ribosomal RNA". It matches the Rfam family "Bacterial small subunit ribosomal RNA", at positions 29 to 507 of the family's 1533-position model. The record is from RNAcentral.
AACGAACGCUGGCGGCAUGCCUAACGCAUGCAAGUCGAACGAGACCUUCGGGUCUAGUGGCGCACGGGUGCGUAACGCGUGGGAACCUGCCCUUAGGUUCGGAAUAACUCCCCGAAAGGGGUGCUAAUACCGGAUAAUGUCUUCGGACCAAAGAUUUAUCGCCUUUGGAUGGGCCCGCGUUGGAUUAGCUAGUUGGUAGGGUAAAAGCCUACCAAGGCGACGAUCCAUAGCUGGUCUGAGAGGAUGAUCAGCCACACUGGGACUGAGACACGGCCCAGAAUCCUACGGGAGGCAGCAGUGGGGAAUAUUGGACAAUGGGCGAAAGCCUGAUCCAGCCAUGCCGCGUGAGUGAUGAAGGCCUUAGGGUUGUAAAGCUCUUUUACACGGGAUGAUAAUGACAGUACCGGGAGAAUAAGCUCCGGCUAACUCCGUG